RNAcentral lists this ribosomal RNA (427 nucleotides) under uncultured bacterium. RNAcentral describes it as "partial 16S ribosomal RNA". It matches the Rfam family "Bacterial small subunit ribosomal RNA", at positions 355 to 774 of the family's 1533-position model. The record is from RNAcentral.
UGGGGAAUAUUGCACAAUGGGCGCAAGCCUGAUGCAGCCAUGCCGCGUGUAUGAAGAAGGCCUUCGGGUUGUAAAGUACUUUCAGCGGGGAGGAAGGUGUUGUGGUUAAUAACCACAGCAAUUGACGUUACCCGCAGAAGAAGCACCGGCUAACUCCGUGCCAGCAGCCGCGGUAAUACGGGGGGUGCAAGCGUUAAUCGGAAUUACUGGGCGUAAAGCGCACGCAGGCGGUCUGUCAAGUCGGAUGUGAAAUCCCCGGGCUCAACCUGGGAACUGCAUCCGAAACUGGCAGGCUUGAGUCUUGUAGAGGGGGGUAGAAUUCCAGGUGUAGCGGUGAAAUGCGUAGAGAUCUGGAGGAAUACCGGUGGCGAAGGCGGCCCCCUGGACAAAGACUGACGCUCAGGUGCGAAAGCGUGGGGAGCAAACA